RNAcentral lists this ribosomal RNA (1347 nucleotides) under metagenome. RNAcentral describes it as "bacterial LSU rRNA". It matches the Rfam family "Bacterial large subunit ribosomal RNA", at positions 1597 to 2925 of the family's 2925-position model. The record is from RNAcentral.
AUGCCAUGCUUCCAAGAAAAGCUUCUAAGCUUCAGGUAACCAGGAACCGUACCCCAAACCGACACAGGUGGUCGGGUAGAGAAUACCAAGGCGCUUGAGAGAACUCGGGUGAAGGAACUAGGCAAAAUGGCACCGUAACUUCGGGAGAAGGUGCGCCGGCUAGGGUGAAGGAUUUACUCCGUAAGCUCUGGCUGGUCGAAGAUACCAGGCCGCUGCGACUGUUUAUUAAAAACACAGCACUCUGCAAACACGAAAGUGGACGUAUAGGGUGUGACGCCUGCCCGGUGCCGGAAGGUUAAUUGAUGGGGUUAGCGCAAGCGAAGCUCUUGAUCGAAGCCCCGGUAAACGGCGGCCGUAACAAUAACGGUCCUAAGGUAGCGAAAUUCCUUGUCGGGUAAGUUCCGACCUGCACGAAUGGCGUAACGAUGGCGGCGCUGUCUCCACCCGAGACUCAGUGAAAUUGAAAUCGCUGUGAAGAUGCAGUGUAUCUGCGGCUAGACGGAAAGACCCCGUGAACCUUUACUGUAGCUUUGCACUGGACUUUGAGCCUGCUUGUGUAGGAUAGGUGGGAGGCUUUGAAGCGUGGACGCCAGUUCGCGUGGAGCCAUCCUUGAAAUACCACCCUGGCAUGCUUGAGGUUCUAACUCUGGUCCGUAAUCCGGAUCGAGGACAGUGUAUGGUGGGCAGUUUGACUGGGGCGGUCUCCUCCUAAAGAGUAACGGAGGAGUACGAAGGUGCGCUCAGACCGGUCGGAAAUCGGUCGCAGAGUAUAAAGGCAAAAGCGCGCUUGACUGCGAGACAGACACGUCGAGCAGGUACGAAAGUAGGUCUUAGUGAUCCGGUGGUUCUGUAUGGAAGGGCCAUCGCUCAACGGAUAAAAGGUACUCCGGGGAUAACAGGCUGAUACCGCCCAAGAGUUCAUAUCGACGGCGGUGUUUGGCACCUCGAUGUCGGCUCAUCACAUCCUGGGGCUGAAGCCGGUCCCAAGGGUAUGGCUGUUCGCCAUUUAAAGUGGUACGCGAGCUGGGUUUAGAACGUCGUGAGACAGUUCGGUCCCUAUCUGCCGUGGACGUUUGAGAUUUGAGAGGGGCUGCUCCUAGUACGAGAGGACCGGAGUGGACGAACCUCUGGUGUUCCGGUUGUCACGCCAGUGGCAUUGCCGGGUAGCUAUGUUCGGAAAAGAUGACCGCUGAAAGCAUCUAAGCGGGAAACUUGCCUCAAGAUGAGAUCUCACUGGGAACUUGAUUCCCCUGAAGGGCCGUCGAAGACUACGACGUUGAUAGGCUGGGUGUGUAAGCGUUGUGAGGCGUUGAGCUAACCAGUACUAAUUGCCCGUGAGGCUUGACC